UACCCCAGCAAUGGGCAAAGAGACACCUUGUUGUUGGUGUUGUUCUCAUAUCAGUCAGGGGCAGAUCAGAUGGCAGUCCUUUGUUCAUCCUACCUUGAUGCCUGGCUGGGUGGCCAAAGCUGUUCUAUGCCUAGGACAUAUCA
This is a small nucleolar RNA of Rattus norvegicus (Norway rat), 143 nucleotides long. Ensembl annotates it as small nucleolar RNA SNORA48. The record is from Ensembl. Lineage: Eukaryota; Metazoa; Chordata; Mammalia; Rodentia; Muridae.